Molecule: long non-coding RNA, 975 nt
Organism: Sinocyclocheilus anshuiensis
Lineage: Eukaryota; Metazoa; Chordata; Actinopteri; Cypriniformes; Cyprinidae
Exons: 5
Source: RefSeq, a predicted model, not a curated record
CCGCGCAUGCGCAGUCGCGUUCGCAGCAUGGCCGCAGGCAGUAGUGUGGAGUGGCUGAAGAGUGUGAAAGCAGUGAUUUGAGACAUGUGUGGAGUUCUGAGAGGGAGGAGGACAGGCGACACACGGAUCUGGAGAAGCAGUGAGGAGGCUGAUGGAUUCCGGUCUGACGGUGCGUUUCUGCACUAAUGAGACUCAGAACACGAGUGAGAGGUUCUACAGAAGCACGUGUGAUGGGCUUCGACAUCAGCGUUGUGAUGAUUGGUGAUGAUCUGCUCAAUGAUGUCGGUGGAGCUCAGCGCUGCGGGAUGAAGGGUCUUCAGGUCAGAACCGGCAAAUACAGGCCGAGCGAUGAGCACACCCGAGCGUGAGAGCAGACGCUUACAUGCACGACCUCGCGGCCGCCGUACUGACCGAUCACUGACCGAUCAGGACAUGGCACUCGUGAUUGAUGACGCACUGACUGUGAAGCUGCACUGACACAUGAAGAAAACUGUGAACAUGUGCAAUGCAUUAUAAAGAAUAUCUCGUGAUGUUUGCUGGCGCUCCGGUGACUGCUUCAUGCGGUUUGGUGUUUGAGCUUCGUUCAGGACAAUAGCGUGAUGCUGGCAGACAUGAAGCGCUGCAGAACAAACAGCAUCACGGAGAUCUGGAGCAGAGGUCGAGGCACACAGACGUCUUUGUGUUUCUUACAGCUGUGCCCGUUUCACAACACGCUCCACUCACUUUGGUCUUCCAGUCGAGGUGUAAUAAAGCUCUGAUGCUGAUGUAAAGCAGACGCUUCUAUUCUAACGCAGCAGAUUCUCCAGGCUCGUUUACGAUCAUAUCUGCUCAUCUAAACAUUAAGGCCACUUUUAACCCUCGCACAUAAAGCUACAGUGAAAUAAGCUGCUGUUAGACUCUAACAGUCGUUCAUCCAUGUUGUUAUAUUUAAUUUGGCCCGAUGGGUUCACACACACACACACUCUCUCACACACA